GGGUUGUGAGGUUAAGCGACUAAGCGUACACGGUGGAUGCCCUGGCAGUCAGAGGCGAUGAAGGACGUGCUAAUCUGCGAUAAGCGUCGGUAAGGUGAUAUGAACCGUUAUAACCGGCGAUUUCCGAAUGGGGAAACCCAGUGUGAUUCGUCACACUAUCGUUAACUGAAUACAUAGGUUAACGAAGCGAACCGGGGGAACUGAAACAUCUAAGUACCCCGAGGAAAAGAAAUCAACCGAGAUUCCCCCAGUAGCGGCG
RNAcentral lists this ribosomal RNA (259 nucleotides) under Salmonella enterica. RNAcentral's name for it is "partial 23S ribosomal RNA". It matches the Rfam family "Bacterial large subunit ribosomal RNA", at positions 1 to 251 of the family's 2925-position model. Lineage: Bacteria; Pseudomonadati; Pseudomonadota; Gammaproteobacteria; Enterobacterales; Enterobacteriaceae. The record is from RNAcentral. RNAcentral also lists the same sequence under 1 other name.